RNAcentral lists this transfer RNA (82 nucleotides) under Ancylostoma ceylanicum. RNAcentral's name for it is "tRNA-Ser". Lineage: Eukaryota; Metazoa; Nematoda; Chromadorea; Rhabditida; Ancylostomatidae. The record is from RNAcentral.
UAUCAGGUGGUCGAGAGGUUAAGGCAAUAGAGUGCUAAUACAUCGGGGUAUCCCCGCGUGAGUUCGAAUCUCAUCGUGAUCG